AUACGUAGGGGGCGAGCGUUGUCCGGAAUGAUUGGGCGUAAAGGGCGCGUAGGCGGCCCGGUAAGUCUGGAGUGAAAGUCCUGUUUUUAAGAUGGGAAUUGCUUUGGAUACUGUCGGGCUUGAGUGCAGGAGAGGUAAGUGGAAUUCCCAGUGUAGCGGUGAAAUGCGUAGAGAUUGGGAGGAACACCAGUGGCGAAGGCGACUUACUGGACUGUAACUGACGCUGAGGCGCGAAAGUGUGGAGAGCAAACAGGAUUAGAUACCCUGGUAGUCCACACUGUAAACGAUGAAUGCUAGGUGUAGGGGGUAUCGACCCCUUCUGUGCCGCAGUCAACACAAUAAGCAUUCCGCCUGGGGAGUACGGCCGCAAGGUUGAAACUCAAAGGAAUUGACGGGG
This 397-nucleotide ribosomal RNA is filed under the name uncultured bacterium. RNAcentral's name for it is "partial 16S ribosomal RNA". It matches the Rfam family "Bacterial small subunit ribosomal RNA", at positions 523 to 918 of the family's 1533-position model. The record is from RNAcentral.